Long non-coding RNA from Corapipo altera (White-ruffed manakin), 703 nucleotides. RefSeq lists it as uncharacterized. The transcript has 2 exons. Lineage: Eukaryota; Metazoa; Chordata; Aves; Passeriformes; Pipridae. The record is from RefSeq and is a predicted model, not a curated record.
GGGGGGGCCCGGGGGAGGAGGGGCUGCGGGAGAUGAACAAGAAGCUGCAGAACCUUCUGGAAGAGCAGCUCACCAAGAACCUGCACCUGGCGCAGGACCUGGAAUCGCUGUCCCAGGAACUGGCCCAGCUCAGGAAGGACCAAACAGCCCCCCCCGGACCCCCCUGAGGGGCGAGGCCACCUCUGCCGGUGGGCGGGGCCUCUCCCCAUCGCCCCGCCCCCUCCCGCUGCAAGCUCCACCCCCCGGUGGGGGGGGUCUGCUUCGGGGGAGACAUUGCCCCUUUAAGAACGGGGGGGUGGUCCCUACUUGGCGUUACCCCUUUGAGGCCUGGGCAGAUCCCCCAGGAGGGCGUUGCCCCUUUAAGACGGGUUUAAAUCCCCCCUUUGGGCGUUGCCCCUUUAAGGAGGUCGCGGUCCCCACUCCGCCGUUGCCCCUUUAAGACCGGGGGUGGGCUCCCCCCAGGACGCCGUUGCCCAUUUAAGAACGGGUUUGACACCACCUUUGGGCGUCGCCCCUUUAAGACGAAGGUGGGGCCCUCCCCAGACUCCGUUUCCCCUUUAAGACGGGUUUGAAACCCCCCCCCUCGGGCGUUGCCCCUUUAAGGCGGUCGCGGUAGUCCCCCCUCCCUUUGUGCCGUUGCCCCUUUAAGAGGGGGAGGGUCCCGCAUGCGGCCCCCCCCUCAAUAAACAACCCCCAACCGCCA